This 1144-nucleotide ribosomal RNA is filed under the name Enterococcus faecium. Its description in RNAcentral is "bacterial SSU rRNA". It matches the Rfam family "Bacterial small subunit ribosomal RNA", at positions 40 to 1156 of the family's 1533-position model. Lineage: Bacteria; Bacillati; Bacillota; Bacilli; Lactobacillales; Enterococcaceae. The record is from RNAcentral.
CUGCGNGNCCUAUCAUGCAAGUCGUACGCUUCUUUUUCCACCGGAAGCUUGCUCCACCGGAAAAAGAGGAGUGGCGAACGGGUGAGUAACACGUGGGUAACCUGCCCAUCAGAAGGGGAUAACACUUGGAAACAGGUGCUAAUACCGUAUAACAAUCGAAACCGCAUGGUUUUGAUUUGAAAGGCGCUUUCGGGUGUCGCUGAUGGAUGGACCCGCGGUGCAUUAGCUAGUUGGUGAGGUAACGGCUCACCAAGGCCACGAUGCAUAGCCGACCUGAGAGGGUGAUCGGCCACAUUGGGACUGAGACACGGCCCAAACUCCUACGGGAGGCAGCAGUAGGGAAUCUUCGGCAAUGGACGAAAGUCUGACCGAGCAACGCCGCGUGAGUGAAGAAGGUUUUCGGAUCGUAAAACUCUGUUGUUAGAGAAGAAUAAGGAUGAGAGUAACUGUUCAUCCCUUGACGGUAUCUAACCAGAAAGCCACGGCUAACUACGUGCCAGCAGCCGCGGUAAUACGUAGGUGGCAAGCGUUGUCCGGAUUUAUUGGGCGUAAAGCGAGCGCAGGCGGUUUCUUAAGUCUGAUGUGAAAGCCCCCGGCUCAACCGGGGAGGGUCAUUGGAAACUGGGAGACUUGAGUGCAGAAGAGGAGAGUGGAAUUCCAUGUGUAGCGGUGAAAUGCGUAGAUAUAUGGAGGAACACCAGUGGCGAAGGCGGCUCUCUGGUCUGUAACUGACGCUGAGGCUCGAAAGCGUGGGGAGCAAACAGGAUUAGAUACCCUGGUAGUCCACGCCGUAAACGAUGAGUGCUAAGUGUUGGAGGGUUUCCGCCCUUCAGUGCUGCAGCUAACGCAUUAAGCACUCCGCCUGGGGAGUACGACCGCAAGGUUGAAACUCAAAGGAAUUGACGGGGGCCCGCACAAGCGGUGGAGCAUGUGGUUUAAUUCGAAGCAACGCGAAGAACCUUACCAGGUCUUGACAUCCUUUGACCACUCUAGAGAUAGAGCUUCCCCUUCGGGGGCAAAGUGACAGGUGGUGCAUGGUUGUCGUCAGCUCGUGUCGUGAGAUGUUGUGUUAAGUCCCGCAACGAGCGCAACCCUUAUUGUUAGUUGCCAUCAUUCAGUUGGGCACUCUAGCAAGACUGCCGGU